Molecule: RNA transcript, 2907 nt
Organism: Triticum aestivum (bread wheat)
Lineage: Eukaryota; Viridiplantae; Streptophyta; Magnoliopsida; Poales; Poaceae
Gene name: DNA polymerase delta small subunit
Exons: 15
Source: RefSeq, a predicted model, not a curated record
UCCUACUACCCGGGCCUGAGCAAGGCCAGUGUCACCCUGCCACAGUGACGCCGCACCGCUUCCAUCGCCGACGAAACCACGGAGCGCGCCCGCGGCGGAUAAAAUUUGGGCGCGGGCGGGAAGGAGACACGCGCGGACGACGAGAGAGAGACCCCCACAGACCGGUCCAAACCCCACCACCCACGCCCCUCCCCCAAAACUCCGCGCCGCCGCCGCCGCCGCCGCCGGUCGCCAUGGAGAGGAAGCAGGCCGACUACAGCAACCUGGACGAGAGGUACACGAUCCAGGGGGAGAGGUACCAGGGCCAGCAGUACAGCCACAUCUACUACACCCGCCUCCACCACAUGCGCACCCUCCUCCACGCCCUCGUCCCCUCCCGGAAGCCGCACCUCCCCGUCACUACGGUGCUCGGACUCGAAGAGGGAAAAGAUUGUGUGCUUGUUGGGACUUUAUACAAGCACAUGAAACUGAAGCCUUCUAUUCUCGAUGAAUACUCAAAGGAGAGGUCGGCAAUCCCUCUUGUUAAGCCACACAAUUUCAUGCACUCUGACGAUAAUCUUAUUCUGGAAGAUGAAAGUGGAAGAGUUGCACUUGCAGGAGCCAUACCUCCAGCAGCCUAUGUGACUGGAGUUGUAGUAGCUCUUCACGGGAAGGAAACAAGUGCUGGCAACUUUCUUGUUGAAGAUGUCAUGGAGGCUGGUCUUCCUCCUCAAACUGUGUUGCCUAGCAUAAAUGAGGACAAGUAUGUUGUUUUUGUGUCGGGAUUAAGUGUUGGGAGCAGCACAUUCAAUCCUCUGCAGUUCCAACUUCUUAUUGACCAUAUCACUGGGCAUUUGGGUGAUGAGAAUGAGCAAGCCAUAGCAUCAAAGAUAGUUCGUGUUGUGGUUGCUGGAAAUUCAGUACAUAUUGCACCAAAGUUCUUGAAUGGCCAGACAGUAGCUGCAAAAGAUCAACCAAGGAUAGCUGAGCCAAUCAAAGAACUGGAUAUAAUGCUGACUCAGCUGGUGGCAUCAUUACCUGUAGAUAUAAUGCCAGGGUGUAAUGAUCCAGCGAAUUUUGCUUUGCCUCAGCAGCCUUUGCAUAGAUGCCUUUUCUCUGGAGCAUCCACCUACAAUACAUUUUCAUCAUGUCCGAAUCCACAUCAAUUCGAUCUUGACAAUGUCAAGUUUAUUGGAACAUCUGGGCAGAACAUAGAUGACCUCUACAGGUACUCGGAUGCCAAAGAUCGGCUGGAAUUCAUGGAAAGGACAUUGAAAUGGCGCCAUCUUGCUCCGACUGCACCGAACAGCCUAGGAUGUUAUCCAUACACAGACAAGGACCCUUUCCUCAUCGAAACUUGCCCCCAUGUUUACUUUGUCGGGAAUCAAGACAGAUACGAGACUCGAUUGUUGAAAGGAACGGAAAAGCAGCAGGUCAGGCUAAUCAGCAUUCCAAGAUUUUGUGAGAGUGGAAUCGCUGUCAUGCUCAACUUGAGGAACUUGGAAUGCAGCACCUUGAGCUUCUCAACAAGCUUCGACGCCUGACUCUGCUCCAUGCAUGGAGUGCACACAAGAAGGUUCUGUUGUAGCGCUACUAUGCAGAUCCAAAUCUUGAAUUUUAAGGUUUCACGAGGGAACAAGCUAUUGUGUUACCCGUAGAGGCUCAUGUAAGGGCUACCUGUAUCUGUAGCUUAGCAGCUCAUUGUUAGAUGUGAUGACCUAGGUUUGGUAGCCCUGUGCUUGGUUGUAGCUAAGAAACAAAUAGAAGAAGCUCAUGCUUCUAUUCCCAGUUUUCUUGUGUAGUAUGCCUGUCUGGAAGCACACCGGCAGGUAUGGCCAGGAGUGCAUAUUCACAUUCUCGUUGGUGCAAAUGGUCACCUGUUUUAUCCAUACAUGUACUACCUUGAGAAACAGGAGCACUCCUUAGGUCGGAAUUCUCAUCAAGAAAUAGAACUAUUUGUUCCCGCAAAAAAAGAAAGAGAAACAAAACUACUCCCUCCGUUCCUAAAUAUUUGUCUUUCUAGACAUUUCAAAUGACUACUACAUACGGAUGUAUGUAGACAUAUUUUAAAGUGUAGAUUCACUCACUUUGCUCCGUAUGUAGUUACUUGUUGAAAUGCAAAGACAAGUAUUUAGGAAUGGAGGGAGUAUUUUUCUCUUCGAGAGCCCCUCCUGAUCCUGAAACCCCAAAACCUGUGGUCGCAGCUCGUCAUCGCACGCAGCAAAGUGCCAAAACCAGAGCAGGAGCUGGGCCGACUAGACUACUGAACCAAUCCGCGCGCCCUCGCCCUGCUCCCCCCUCUGUCGCCAUGGCCGCCGCACUCUCCUCCCCCCACCUCGCCGCGACCCUGCCGUCUCUCCGGCCCCCUGCCCGCCGGCCUUCGCGCGCGGCCUCUCUACUCCCGCCCCGGGGCGCCCGCAUCGCCCUCCGUCGCUCCUCCAGGCAUCCUUACCCUUCGUCAAGAAAUUCUGGAUGGUUUGAGAAUGCGGCAAGGAAGAAAGCUCUGUUUGCAUCAGAGACAGAUUCCCCUAGCACCGAGGUUUCAAAACAGAGCAGCACCGGCGACGCCAACUCUUCUCCACAUGGCCCGCCAGUCCUGACCAUUUUGGCCGGUAUCGCUGUGUUCUUCCUGCUCUUGUGGGUCAUCGGAUCGAUCUUCACCUGGAUCGUCGGUCUCGUCUUCGGGGCUGCGAAAUCUUAGGUGUUUAUCAAUGUUAGGAUAGUUCUGCACCUUUUCAGUUGUAUAUACACUUGUCCCCGGCUGCUGUUUGAUGAUAGCCCUGGAUCAUUGCAUCCUCUGCUGUCAUUUCCAUCCGAGAUUCUUGAAUAAUUGUAUUACAUAUUCCUAGCCAAAAGUCACGGAUUACCACACUGUUAUUUCUAGCCAUAUCUUGGCUCAUGACAGCAAGUGUUGUUAUUUUGGAGAAA